RNAcentral lists this ribosomal RNA (253 nucleotides) under uncultured bacterium. RNAcentral's name for it is "partial 16S ribosomal RNA". It matches the Rfam family "Bacterial small subunit ribosomal RNA", at positions 524 to 776 of the family's 1533-position model. The record is from RNAcentral.
UACGUAGGGGGCGAGCGUUGUCCGGAGUUACUGGGCGUAAAGGGCAUGCAGGCGGUCCGACACGUUUUGUGUGACAGCGGGUGGCUUAACUACCCGAGGAUACGAAAGACGGUUGGACUUGAGGACUCGAGAGGGACACGGAAUUCCGGGUGGAGUGGUGAAAUGCGUAGAGAUCCGGAGGAGCACCGAAGGCGAAGGCAGUGUCCUGGCGAGUGACUGACGCUGAGGUGCGAAAGCCAGGGGAGCGAACGGG